This 429-nucleotide long non-coding RNA is filed under the name Pongo abelii (Sumatran orangutan). Its description in RNAcentral is "lincRNA". The record is from RNAcentral. Lineage: Eukaryota; Metazoa; Chordata; Mammalia; Primates; Hominidae.
UCAAGUGAUUCUCCUGCCUCAGCCUCCUGAGUAUCUGGAAUUACAGGCCAACCCUGCUUAUUCCUGUAAACCAACCAGUGAUCUCUGGCUACUGCUCAGAAGAAACAAGAGGGAUGGCUGAUUAAACAGGUUGCAGUAAAAGAGCCAGCCUAAACCCAGCAAAACCAAAAUGGUGAUGAGAGUGACCUCUGGUUGUCCUCACUGCUACACUCCCACCAGCACCAUGACAGUUUACAAAUUCCAUGACAAUGUCAGGAAGUUACCCUAUGUGGUCUAAAAAGAGGAGGCAUGAAUAAUCCACCCCUUGUUUAGCAUAUCAUCAAGAAAUAACCAUAAAAAUAGGUAAUCUGCAGCCCCCAGGCUGCUCUGUCUGUGGAGUAGCUGUUCUUUUUUUCUUUUACUUUCUUAAUAAACUUCCUUUCACUUUGC